UCGGGUGUGGUGCAGGGUGCACGGCGGCUUUCGGUAAUUUUCCGCAGUGAUUGCAGCCGCAGAUCGGGGUUCGACUCCCGCACUCGAC
Mycena leptocephala is the source of this 88-nucleotide non-coding RNA. Lineage: Eukaryota; Fungi; Basidiomycota; Agaricomycetes; Agaricales; Mycenaceae. The record is from the annotation of a GenBank genome assembly.